AUGGUGGUAACACCCAGGGGGGAAAGUGUCUCUGGGACUCUCUCUAACACUUUUCAUUUGGGAAAAGCCUGGAAAUCUGGAUUCAGAGCUACCCAACUGCACUCAGCACGUUCAGCUCCAGCCUGCAAAGGACUUCACAAUGUGAGGAAGGGAUUUCAGGGACAUAUCCUACAUCAUUGUUGCCACGAGCCCAACAAUAAUUGGCAUAAGCUGGUACAAGAGGGGCUUGCAGGACAAAGCUGCAGGGUCUGCAAUGACACCUGCUCCCACAUCCAGCCCUGGGAGAAGACACAUCCUUUCUGA
Molecule: long non-coding RNA, 303 nt
Filed under: Cyanistes caeruleus (blue tit)
Lineage: Eukaryota; Metazoa; Chordata; Aves; Passeriformes; Paridae
Description: lncRNA (ENSCCEG00000010387.1)
Source: RNAcentral